Long non-coding RNA from Cydia amplana, 346 nucleotides. RefSeq lists it as uncharacterized. The transcript has 2 exons. NCBI's taxonomy places the organism in Eukaryota, Metazoa, Arthropoda, Insecta, Lepidoptera, Tortricidae. The record is from RefSeq and is a predicted model, not a curated record.
UCAUAUAUUUUUUUUAGUUUUAUCAUUCUCUUAUUUUAGAAGUUACAGGGGGGGGGGACACAUUUUACCACUUUGGAAGUGUCUCUCGCGCAAACUAUUCAGUUUAGAAAAAAAAUAUAUUAGAAACCUCAAUAUCAUUUUUGAAGACCUAUCCAUAGACACCCCACACGUAUGGGCCUGAUGAAAAAAAAAAUUUUUGAGCGAUUUAUGACGUAUUAAAAAAAAACUACUUACUAGAUCUCGUUCAAACCAAUUUUCGGUGGAAGUUUACACGGUAAUGUACACCAUAUUUUUUUUUUAGUUUUAUCAUUCUGUUAUUUUAGAAGUUACAGGGGGGGGGGACACA